RNAcentral lists this ribosomal RNA (1349 nucleotides) under Cronobacter sakazakii. Its description in RNAcentral is "partial 23S ribosomal RNA". It matches the Rfam family "Bacterial large subunit ribosomal RNA", at positions 1600 to 2925 of the family's 2925-position model. Lineage: Bacteria; Pseudomonadati; Pseudomonadota; Gammaproteobacteria; Enterobacterales; Enterobacteriaceae. The record is from RNAcentral.
CCCUGCUUCCAGGAAAAGCCUCUAAGCAUCAGGUAACAUCAAAUCGUACCCCAAACCGACACAGGUGGUCAGGUAGAGAAUACCAAGGCGCUUGAGAGAACUCGGGUGAAGGAACUAGGCAAAAUGGUGCCGUAACUUCGGGAGAAGGCACGCUGACAUGUAGGUGAAGCCCCUGCGGGUGGAGCUGAAGUCAGUCGAAGAUACCAGCUGGCUGCAACUGUUUAUUAAAAACACAGCACUGUGCAAACACGAAAGUGGACGUAUACGGUGUGACGCCUGCCCGGUGCCGGAAGGUUAAUUGAUGGGGUUAUCGCAAGAGAAGCUCCUGAUCGAAGCCCCGGUAAACGGCGGCCGUAACUAUAACGGUCCUAAGGUAGCGAAAUUCCUUGUCGGGUAAGUUCCGACCUGCACGAAUGGCGUAAUGAUGGCCAGGCUGUCUCCACCCGAGACUCAGUGAAAUUGAACUCGCUGUGAAGAUGCAGUGUACCCGCGGCAAGACGGAAAGACCCCGUGAACCUUUACUACAGCUUGACACUGAACAUUGAGCCUUGAUGUGUAGGAUAGGUGGGAGGCUUUGAAGCGUGGACGCCAGUCUGCGUGGAGCCGACCUUGAAAUACCACCCUUUAAUGUUUGAUGUUCUAACCUGGCGCCAUAAUCUGGCGUGGGGACAGUGUCUGGUGGGUAGUUUGACUGGGGCGGUCUCCUCCCAAAGUGUAACGGAGGAGCACGAAGGUCAGCUAAUCCUGGUCGGACAUCAGGAGGUUAGUGCAAUGGCAUAAGCUGGCUUGACUGCGAGAGUGACGGCUCGAGCAGGUGCGAAAGCAGGUCAUAGUGAUCCGGUGGUUCUGUAUGGAAGGGCCAUCGCUCAACGGAUAAAAGGUACUCCGGGGAUAACAGGCUGAUACCGCCCAAGAGUUCAUAUCGACGGCGGUGUUUGGCACCUCGAUGUCGGCUCAUCACAUCCUGGGGCUGAAGUAGGUCCCAAGGGUAUGGCUGUUCGCCAUUUAAAGUGGUACGCGAGCUGGGUUUAGAACGUCGUGAGACAGUUCGGUCCCUAUCUGCCGUGGGCGCUGGAGAAUUGAGGGGGGCUGCUCCCAGUACGAGAGGACCGGAGUGGACGCAUCACUGGUGUUCGGGUUGUCAUGCCAAUGGCACUGCCCGGUAGCUAAAUGCGGAAGAGAUAAGUGCUGAAAGCAUCUAAGCACGAAACUUGCCCCGAGAUGAGUUCUCCCUGAGACUAUAAGUCUCCUGAAGGAACGUUGAAGACGACGACGUUGAUAGGCCGGGUGUGUAAGCGCAGCGAUGCGUUGAGCUAACCGGUACUAAUGAACCGUGAGGCUUAACCUUA